UACGGGGGGAGCAAGCGUUGUUCGGAUUUACUGGGCGUAAAGGGCGCGUAGGCGGUCAGCACAAGUCAGUUGUGAAAUCUCCGGGCUUAACUCGGAAAGGUCAACUGAUACUGUGCGACUAGAGUGCAGAAGGGGCAACUGGAAUUCUCGGUGUAGCGGUGAAAUGCGUAGAUAUCUGGAGGAACACCGGUGGCGAAGGCGGCAUUCUGGACCGAAACUGACGCUGAGGCGCGAAAGCCAGGGGAGCAAACGGG
Molecule: ribosomal RNA, 254 nt
Filed under: uncultured bacterium
Lineage: Bacteria
Description: partial 16S ribosomal RNA
Rfam family: Bacterial small subunit ribosomal RNA
Source: RNAcentral